UAGAUGCGAGAGUAGAGCAUAUCAAUAAGCGGAGGAAAAGAAACUAACAAGGAUUCCCUUAGUAACGGCGAGUGAAGCGGGAAGAGCUCAAAUUUGAAAUCUUCAAGGUUCUACCUUGACGAAUUGUAGUUUAAAGAAGUGUUUUCUGUUAGAUGAGUAGCAAAAGUUCCUUGGAAUGGGACAUCAUAGAGGGUGAGAAUCCCGUAUUUGGAUCAUUAUUUCUAGCUGUGUGAUACACUUUCAAAGAGUCGGAUUGUUUGGGAAUGCAGUCCAAAAUGGGUGGUAAAUUUCAUCUAAAGCUAAAUAUUGGCGAGAGACCGAUAGCGAACAAGUACCGUGAGGGAAAGAUGAAAAGAACUUUGAAAAGAGAGUUAAACAGUACGUGAAAUUGUCAAAAGGGAAGCGUUUGACACCAGUGUUGUUUUUCCGAAAAUCAAUUACGAAUGGCUUGAUUUUGUGUUGUAUUGACCUUAUCAGCUUUCUGCACUUUUUUUCGAGUCUUUCUUAAUGCACCUUUUCGGUUAACAAGUCAACAUCAAUUUCUUUUGUUGUAAAAGAGUAUUCGGAAGGUGGCUUUCUUUUCGGAGAAAGUGUUUAUAGCCCUAUACUUCUACAAUCGGAGAGAUUGAGGUCUGCAGCGUAGAUCCUUCGGGGUUAGAUACACUUGUGCUAAGUUGUAGCUUUUCAUAGACAACUUGUUGACUAUGUUUAGUCAUGCGGCUUACUCGCUUGUGCUAUUUUACCUACGCUUAGGAUGUUGAGCGCAUGUCUCUCUCU
Molecule: ribosomal RNA, 777 nt
Filed under: uncultured Neocallimastigales
Lineage: Eukaryota; Fungi; Neocallimastigomycota; Neocallimastigomycetes; Neocallimastigales
Description: partial large subunit ribosomal RNA
Rfam family: Eukaryotic large subunit ribosomal RNA
Source: RNAcentral